This 253-nucleotide ribosomal RNA is filed under the name uncultured bacterium. RNAcentral's name for it is "partial 16S ribosomal RNA". It matches the Rfam family "Bacterial small subunit ribosomal RNA", at positions 524 to 776 of the family's 1533-position model. The record is from RNAcentral.
GACGUAGGGCGCGAGCGUUGUCCGGAUUUAUUGGGCGUAAAGAGCUCGUAGGCGGCUUGUCGCGUCGGCUGUGAAAACCCGCGGCUCAACUGUGGGCGGGCAGCUGAUACGGGCAGGCUGGAGUUCGGUAGGGGAGACUGGAAUUCCUGGUGUAGCGGUGAAAUGCGCAGAUAUCGGGAGGAACACCUGUGGCGAAGGCGGCCCCCUGGUUGGAUACUGACGCUGAUACGCGAAAGCGUGGGGAGCAAACAGG